GAUGAACGCUGGCGGCGUGCCUAAUACAUGCAAGUCGAGCGAACAGACGAGGAGCUUGCUCCUCUGACGUUAGCGGCGGACGGGUGAGUAAAACGUGGAUAACCUACCUAUAAGACGGGGAUAACUUCGGGAAACCGGAGCUAAUACCGGAUAAUAUAUUGAACCGCAUGGUUCAAUAGUGAAAGACGGUUUUGCUGUCACUUAUAGAUGGAUCCGCGCCGCAUUAGCUAGUUGGUAAGGUAACGGCUUACCAAGGCAACGAUGCGUAGCCGACCUGAGAGGGUGAUCGGCCACACUGGAACUGAGACACGGUCCAGACUCCUACGGGAGGCAGCAGUAGGGAAUCUUCCGCAAUGGGCGAAAGCCUGACGGAGCAACGCCGCGUGAGUGAUGAAGGUCUUCGGAUCGUAAAACUCUGUUAUUAGGGAAGAACAAAUGUGUAAGUAACUAUGCACGUCUUGACGGUACCUAAUCAGAAAGCCCCGGCUAACUACGUG
RNAcentral lists this ribosomal RNA (497 nucleotides) under uncultured bacterium. Its description in RNAcentral is "partial 16S ribosomal RNA". It matches the Rfam family "Bacterial small subunit ribosomal RNA", at positions 28 to 507 of the family's 1533-position model. The record is from RNAcentral.